AUGAAAAACUGCCCCAAAGGUUUGCGGGGAAUAUAUCAAGGUCACACCAGAGAGGCCACCAUCAUACUAGAAGCGGUGACAUCACAUGACUUAUGGAUUUGGCAAUCUUUCUUUGGAAUACCGGGUUCUCACAAUGACAUCAACGUGCUUCAACGAUCUCCGAUGUUCGGGAGACUUUGCAAUGGGGAAUCACCGCCGUGCAACUACAUCGUCAAUGACCGAGAGUACAACAUGGGAUACUAUUUUGCCGAUGGUAUCUAUCCUCAGUGGGCGGCGUUUGUGAAGACCAUAUCCAAAUAG
This 300-nucleotide ribosomal RNA is filed under the name Triticum aestivum (bread wheat). Its description in RNAcentral is "partial small subunit ribosomal RNA". The record is from RNAcentral. Lineage: Eukaryota; Viridiplantae; Streptophyta; Magnoliopsida; Poales; Poaceae.